Molecule: ribosomal RNA, 253 nt
Filed under: uncultured bacterium
Lineage: Bacteria
Description: partial 16S ribosomal RNA
Rfam family: Bacterial small subunit ribosomal RNA
Source: RNAcentral
UACGGAGGGUGCAAGCGUUAUCCGGAUUCACUGGGUUUAAAGGGUGCGUAGGUGGGUUUGUAAGUCAGUGGUGAAAUCUCCAAGCUUAACUUGGAAACUGCCGUUGAUACUAUAAAUCUUGAAUGUUGUGGAGGUGAGCGGAAUAUGUCAUGUAGCGGUGAAAUGCUUAGACAUGACAUAGAACACCAAUUGCGAAGGCAGCUCACUACACAAAGAUUGACACUGAGGCACGAAAGCGUGGGGAUCAAACAGG